GAUCCUGGCUCAGAACGAACGCUGGCGGCAGGCCUAACACAUGCAAGUCGAGCGCCCCGCAAGGGGAGCGGCGGACGGGUGAGUAACGCGUGGGAACGUACCCUUUGCUACGGAAUAGCCUCGGGAAACUGGGAGUAAUACCGUAUGUGCCCUUCGGGGGAAAGAUUUAUCGGCAAAGGAUCGGCCCGCGUUGGAUUAGGUAGUUGGUGGGGUAAUGGCCUACCAAGCCGACGAUCCAUAGCUGGUUUGAGAGGAUGAUCAGCCACACUGGGACUGAGACACGGCCCAGACUCCUACGGGAGGCAGCAGUGGGGAAUUGUUCGCAAUGGGCGCAAGCCUGACGACGCAACGCCGCGUGGAGGAUGAAGAUCUUCGGGUUGUAAACUCCUUUCGAUCGAGACGAAUGGCCCUUGGGCUAACAUCCCGAGGGAGUGACGGUACCGAGAGAAGAAGCCCCGGCUAACUCCGUG
RNAcentral lists this ribosomal RNA (470 nucleotides) under uncultured bacterium. RNAcentral describes it as "bacterial SSU rRNA". It matches the Rfam family "Bacterial small subunit ribosomal RNA", at positions 15 to 507 of the family's 1533-position model. The record is from RNAcentral.